UCUCUGGUGGCUUAGUUGGUAUUGAAUCUGCCUGCAGUACAGGAGACCCAGGUUCGAUUCCUGGGUAGGGAA
This 72-nucleotide transfer RNA is filed under the name Bos taurus (domestic cattle). It matches the Rfam family "tRNA". Rfam says of the family: Transfer RNA (tRNA) molecules are approximately 80 nucleotides in length. Their secondary structure includes four short double-helical elements and three loops (D, anti-codon, and T loops). RNAcentral also lists the same sequence under 2 other names. Lineage: Eukaryota; Metazoa; Chordata; Mammalia; Artiodactyla; Bovidae. The record is from Rfam by way of RNAcentral.